AAUGAACGUUGGCGGCGUGGAUUAGGCAUGCAAGUCGAGCGAGAAAUUUACUUCGGUAAAUGGACAGCGGCGAAAGGGACAGUAAUGUGUAGGUACCUACCCUCUGAUCUGGGAUAGCUGCGGGAAACUGCAGGUAAUACCGGAUAAUGUCUUCGGACCAAAGGUGUGAUUCCGUCUGAGGAGGGGCCUGCAUCCUAUUAGCUUGUUGGUGAGGUAAUGGCUCACCAAGGCAACGAUGGGUAGCGGGUGUGAGAGCAUGACCCGCGUCAUUGGGACUGAGACACUGCCCAGACAUCUACGGAUGGCUGCAGUCGAGAAUCUUCGGCAAUGGGCGAAAGCCUGACCGAGCGACGCCGCGUGCGGGAUGAAGGCCCUCGGGUUGUAAACCGCUGUCGUUGGGGAGGAAAUGCAUGAGGGCUAUCCCUCUUGUUUGACCGAUCCAAGGAGGAAGUACGGGCUAAGUUCGUGCCAGCAGCCGCGGUAAGACGAACCGUACGAACGUUAUUCGGAAUUACUGGGCUUAAAGGGUGCGUAGGCUGCACGGAAAGUUGGGUGUGAAAGCCCUCAGCUCAACUGAGGAAUUGCAUCCAAAACUGCCGUGCUUGAGGGAGACAGAGGUGAGCGGAACUCAAGGUGGAGCGGUGAAAUGCGUUGAUAUCUUGAGGAACACCGGUGGCGAAGGCGGCUCACUGGGUCUCUUCUGACGCUGAGGCACGAAAGCUAAGGUAGCAAACGGG
This 737-nucleotide ribosomal RNA is filed under the name uncultured bacterium. RNAcentral's name for it is "bacterial SSU rRNA". It matches the Rfam family "Bacterial small subunit ribosomal RNA", at positions 28 to 776 of the family's 1533-position model. The record is from RNAcentral.